This 253-nucleotide ribosomal RNA is filed under the name uncultured bacterium. RNAcentral's name for it is "partial 16S ribosomal RNA". It matches the Rfam family "Bacterial small subunit ribosomal RNA", at positions 524 to 776 of the family's 1533-position model. The record is from RNAcentral.
UACGGGGGGGGCAAGCGUUGUUCGGAAUUACUGGGCGUAAAGGGCUCGUAGGCGGCCAACUAAGUCAGACGUGAAAUCCCCAGGCUCAACCUGGGAACUGCGUCUGAUACUGGAUGGCUUGAAUCCGGGAGAGGGAUGCAGAAUUCCAGGUGUAGCGGUGAAAUGCGUAGAUAUCUGGAGGAACACCAAUGGCGAAGGCAGCUCGCUGGGACGUUACUGACGCUGAGACGCGAAAGCGUGGGGAGCAAACAGG